Non-coding RNA from Cinara cedri, 815 nucleotides. The record is from the annotation of a GenBank genome assembly. Lineage: Eukaryota; Metazoa; Arthropoda; Insecta; Hemiptera; Aphididae.
AACGCAUUUACUGUUUAAUUUUUGGAAAUUUUUUCUUCAUAUUUCCACCAGUCAAAAAUGUUUUAUAAAAAUGGAAAUUUCAUACUACAAAAUUAACGUGUUUUUCGUUUUUGCAAAUAAUUAUAAUGUUUGAACAUAUUUUCAAAAAUCAACGUUUUUUUGGUUUUUUAGUUGAAAUUCAUCGGUCAAUAAAAAAUUAUUAUGUCGUUAUUAUUUUCUCUGUAAUGUCUAUUGGCGCUUUUGUCCUGACCUCAGUGAGUUAACCGAACCCUGAACACUAUUGGUUGUUUUACGGAAACGAGAACGAAAAUAUGGUAUAAAAUAUAAAAUACAUAUUUUUACGCGAGCAUUAACUUAAUCGGGAGUAUUGUGGUUUUUUUUUUUUUUUUUUUUUUUUUGUUAAAUUUGUGUGGAGGGAUGGGGAGGGCGUGGAUUGAGAAGGUCGAGUUCAAUCGUGGUAAGGGACGCUAAUUUUAUUUAUUUUUUUUUUCAUUCAAUUCUCGUCAUAACAAUAUUACAGUAGUCGCUCUUCUUUCAUUUAUCAUUUUUUUUUUUUUUUUUUUUUUUGCUUUCCAAUUUCCGAGCACCGGCACCGCGGUAAUAAUGUCGUUUACGUUCGGAUUACAUUGUUUUUCUAUCCGCGGGCAAAACGACAACAAUAAUAACGCAAUGCAAUACACAUAUAUAUAUAAAUACAUAAUUUAGAAUCGAUUAGUAACGGAGUGAAAUAGAAAUAUAAAUCUCGGAUGAUCCCGGCAAUACUGCGUCGGUCCGAUAAUAAUUCGUUUUCGACACAAUAUAAUACCGUAUACGCG